RNAcentral lists this ribosomal RNA (815 nucleotides) under uncultured bacterium. RNAcentral's name for it is "bacterial SSU rRNA". It matches the Rfam family "Bacterial small subunit ribosomal RNA", at positions 8 to 796 of the family's 1533-position model. The record is from RNAcentral.
AGAGUUUGAUCAUGGCUCAGAACGAACGCUGGCGGCGUGGAUAAGACAUGCAAGUCGAGCGCUGAUUACAGGGUAGCAAUAUUCUGUGGUCGGAGCGGCGCAAGGGUGCGUAACACGUGGGUAAUCUGCCAUGAAGUUUGGGAUAACUUGCUGAAAGGCGAGCUAAUACCGGAUGUGACAACUGGAAGGCAUCUUCUGGUUGUCAAAGCUGGGGACCGUAAGGCCUGGCGCUUCUUGAUGAGCCCGCGGCCUAUCAGCUAGUUGGUAAGGUAACGGCUUACCAAGGCUAAGACGGGUAGCUGGUCUGAGAGGACGACCAGCCACACUGGAACUGAGACACGGUCCAGACACCUACGGGUGGCAGCAGUCGAGAAUUUUUCACAAUGGGCGCAAGCCUGAUGGAGCGACGCCGCGUGGGGGAUGAAUGGCUUCGGCCCGUAAACCCCUGUCAUUUGCGAACAAAUUGGUUCAAUUAACACUUGAACCAUUGAUAGUAGCGAAAGAGGAAGGGACGGCUAACUCUGUGCCAGCAGCCGCGGUAAUACAGAGGUCCCAAGCGUUGUUCGGAUUCACUGGGCGUAAAGGGUGCGUAGGUGGUGAGGUAAGUCGGAUGUGAAAUCUCCGAGCUCAACUCGGAAAUGGCAUUGGAAACUACCUUGCUAGAGGAUCGGAGGGGGGACUGGAAUACUUGGUGUAGCAGUGAAAUGCGUAGAUAUCAAGUGGAACACCAGUGGCGAAGGCGAGUCCCUGGACGAUACCUGACACUGAGGCACGAAAGCUAGGGGAGCAAACAGGAUUAGAUACCCCCGUAGUCC